AGCGCACACGGUGGAUGCCUAGGCGGUCAGAGGCGAUGAAGGACGUGGUAGCCUGCGAAAAGUGUCGGGGGGCUGGCAACAAGCUUUGAUCCGGCAAUAUCCGAAUGGGGAAACCCACUGCUUCGGCAGUAUCCUGCAGUGAAUUCAUAGCUGCUGGAAGCGAACCCGGUGAACUGAAAUAUCUAAGUAACCGGAGGAAAAGAAAUCAACCGAGAUUCCCUAAGUAGUGACGAGCGAACGGGGAGCAGCCCUUAAGCUGGAAUGGCUUUAGAAAAACAAUCUGGAAAGAUUGGCCAUAGAAGGUGAUAGCCCUGUAUUUAAAAGGGCCACUCCAGUGAAGACGAGUAGGGCGGGGCACGUGAAACCCUGUCUGAAUAUGGGGGGACCAUCCUCCAAGGCUAAAUACUCCUGACCGACCGAUAGUGAACCAGUACCGUGAGGGAAAGGCGAAAAGAACCCCGGAGAGGGGAGUGAAAUAGAUCCUGAAACCGUGUGCGUACAAGCAGUAGGAGCUCGCAAGAGUGACUGCGUACCUUUUGUAUAAUGGGUCAGCGACUUACUGUUCGUGGCAAGCUUAACCGUAUAGGGGAGGCGAAGGGAAACCGAGUCUGAUAAGGGCGCAUAGUCGCGGGCAGUAGACCCGAAACCGGGUGAUCUAGUCAUGGCCAGGGGGAAGGUGCCGUAACAGGUACUGGAGGCCCGAACCCACGUCUGUUGCAAAAGACGGGGAUGAGCUGUGAUUAGGAGUGAAAAGCUAAUCGAACCCGGAGAUAGCUGGUUCUCCUCGAAAGCUAUUUAGGUAGCGCCUCGGACGAAUACUACUGGGGGUAGAGCACUGUUAUGGCUAGGGGGUCAUCGCGACUUACCAAACCAUUGCAAACUCCGAAUACCAGUACGUACUAUCCGGGAGACACACGGCGGGGGCUAACGUCCGUCGUGAAAAGGGAAACAACCCAGACCCACAGCUAAGGUCCCAAAUUCACUGCUAAGUGGAAAACGAUGUGGAAAGGCAUAGACAGCCAGGAGGUUGGCUUAGAAGCAGCCACCCUUUAAAGAAAGCGUAAUAGCUCACUGGUCGAGUCGGUCUGCGCGGAAGAUUUAACGGGGCUAAGCAGUGAACCGAAGCUUGGGGUGCAUAAAACUUGUUUUAUGCGCGGUAGAGGAGCGUUCCGUAAGCCUGCGAAGGUGGAUUGAGAAGUCUGCUGGAGGUAUCGGAAGUGCGAAUGCUGACAUGAGUAACGAUAAUGCGGGUGAAAAGCCCGCACGCCGAAAGCCCAAGGUUUCCUUGCGCAACGUUAAUCGACGCAGGGUUAGUCGGUCCCUAAGGCGAGGGCGAAAGCCGUAGUCGAUGGGAAGCAGGUUAAUAUUCCUGCACCUCGCGUGAGUGCGAUGGAGGGACGGAGAAGGUUAGGUGUACCGGGCGUUGGUUGUCCCGGGGAAAGGCGGUAGGUUUGGAUCUUUGGCAAAUCCGGGAUCCUUUAAGACCGAGCACCGAGACGAGCCUUUAUGGCGAAGUCACUGAUACCACGCUUCCAGGAAAAGCUCCUAAGCUUCAGCUCACGAAGACCGUACCGUAAACCGACACAGGUGGGUAGGAUGAGAAUUCUCAGGCGCUUGAGAGAACUCGGGUGAAGGAACUAGGCAACAUGGCACCGUAACUUCGGGAGAAGGUGCACCCUUUUUGGUGGCUCAUGCGAGCUAUAGCUGAAGAGGGUCGCAGAAACCAGGCCGCUGCGACUGUUUAUCAAAAACACAGCACUCUGCAAACACGAAAGUGGACGUAUAGGGUGUGACGCCUGCCCGGUGCUGGAAGGUUAAUUGAUGGGGUCAGCCGCAAGGCGAAGCUCUUGAUCGAAGCCCCAGUAAACGGCGGCCGUAACUAUAACGGUCCUAAGGUAGCGAAAUUCCUUGUCGGGUAAGUUCCGACCUGCACGAAUGGCGUAACGACAGCGGCGCUGUCUCCACCCGAGACUCAGUGAAAUUGAAAUCGCUGUGAAGAUGCAGCGUUCCCGUGGCAAGACGGAAAGACCCCGUGAACCUUUACUAUAGCUUUACACUGAACGUUGAGUUCGUCUGUGUAGGAUAGGUGGGAGGCUAUGAAACUGUGGCGCUAGCUGCAGUGGAGCCAUCCUUGAAAUACCACCCUGUCGUGCUUGACGUUCUAACCUAGAUCCGUUAUCCGGAUCAGGGACCGUGUAUGGUGGGUAGUUUGACUGGGGCGGUCUCCUCCUAAAGAGUAACGGAGGAGCACGAAGGUACGCUCAGCGCGGUCGGACAUCGCGCACUGUGUGCAAAGGCAUAAGCGUGCUUGACUGCAAGAUCGACGGAUCAAGCAGGUACGAAAGUAGGUCUUAGUGAUCCGGUGGUUCUGUAUGGAAGGGCCAUCGCUCAACGGAUAAAAGGUACUCCGGGGAUAACAGGCUGAUACCGCCCAAGAGUUCAUAUCGACGGCGGUGUUUGGCACCUCGAUGUCGGCUCAUCACAUCCUGGGGCUGUAGUCGGUCCCAAGGGUAUGGCUGUUCGCCAUUUAAAGUGGUACGCGAGCUGGGUUCAGAACGUCGUGAGACAGUUCGGUCCCUAUCUGCCAUGGGCGUUGGAAGUUUGAGAGGGGCUGCUCCUAGUACGAGAGGACCGGAGUGGACGAACCUCUGGUGUUCCGGUUGUCACGCCAGUGGCAUUGCCGGGUAGCUAUGUUCGGAAGCGAUAACCGCUGAAAGCAUCUAAGCGGGAAGCGCGCCUCAAGAUGAGACUUCCCGGGGCACAAGCCCCCUAAAGGAACCAUAUAGACUAUGUGGUUGAUAGGUCAGGUGUGUAAGUACAGCAAUGUAUUGAGCUAACUGAUACUAAUGAUCCGUGCGGCUUGACC
Molecule: ribosomal RNA, 2866 nt
Filed under: Xanthomonas arboricola
Lineage: Bacteria; Pseudomonadati; Pseudomonadota; Gammaproteobacteria; Lysobacterales; Lysobacteraceae
Description: bacterial LSU rRNA
Rfam family: Bacterial large subunit ribosomal RNA
Source: RNAcentral